GAUAAACGCUGGCGGCGCACAUAAGACAUGCAAGUCGAACGGAAAUCGUCUUAAAUAUUGUGGAAGUGAAGUUUGAUUUAUCUAAUGAAUCUGAAGUAAUUUUUAAGACAUAUGAUUUUAGUGGCGGACUGGUGAGUAACACGUAAGCAACCUGCCUAUGAGAGGGGAAUAACAGUGAGAAAUCAUUGCUAAUACCGCAUACCUUGAAUUUAUCGCAUGGUAAAUUUAAGAAAGGAGUAAUCCGCUUGUAGAUGGGCUUGCGUCUGAUUAGCUAGUUGGUAGGGUAAAGGCUUACCAAGGCGACGAUCAGUAGCCGGACUGAGAGGUUGAACGGCCACAUUGGGACUGAGAUACGGCCCAGACUCCUACGGGAGGCAGCAGUCGGGAAUAUUGCGCAAUGGAGGGAACUCUGACGCAGUGACGCCGCGUAUAGGAAGAAGGUUUUAGGAUUGUAAACUAUUUUAGUCAGGGAAGAUUUAGACGGUACCUGAAGAAUAAGCUCCGGCUAACUACGUGCCAGCCGCCGCCGUAAAAC
Molecule: ribosomal RNA, 535 nt
Filed under: uncultured bacterium
Lineage: Bacteria
Description: bacterial SSU rRNA
Rfam family: Bacterial small subunit ribosomal RNA
Source: RNAcentral